Molecule: long non-coding RNA, 1104 nt
Filed under: Ursus maritimus (polar bear)
Lineage: Eukaryota; Metazoa; Chordata; Mammalia; Carnivora; Ursidae
Description: lncRNA (ENSUMAG00000010160.1)
Source: RNAcentral
CACCACUAGUUUUUCUUUCUCUCUCUCUCUCUUUUUUUUUUUUUAAGAUUUAUUUAUUUGAGAGUGAGAAACAGCGAGCACAAGCAGAGGGAGAAGCAGACCCCCUUGCUGAGCUGGGAGCCUGACGUGGGGCUCGAUCCCAGGACCUGGAGAUCGUGACCUGAGCCGAAGGCAGAUGCUUAACCAUCUGAGCCACCCAGGCGCCCCUCCCCCUUUUUUAAAGAUUUAUUUACUUAUUACCACUAGUUUCUUUAUAAGUAACACCACAGGCAACUCUGGCUGCAGGCGACUGACGCCGGACAAGACUGCUCGCACUGGGCCUUCGCUGCCCAGGAGACGGACCCAGACCUCCACCAGGGCCCGGCAGGGCUUGCCCACCAAGGCUCUGACAGGUCUGCUCCCUCCCGGAGCACCUCAGCGCCCCAGACGCGACGGCCUGUGGAGGCCGAGAGGGAUCCCCGCUCCGUGCGGCCCCUUGGCUCGGCCUGCCCAGCUCCCUGCGGCCCCCACAACGGGCGACCGGCUCGCCGAGGGCUGCAUCCAUCCCGCUCCGGCCGCACCCCCCAGCCGCACACGCAGGAACACCCACCUCCGGCCCACACCGCUGCCAAAGGAUCUCCCACUACUUCAGCUCUCCAAGCCUCACGUCGACCCAGUGAUCUGGAGGCAAAACACACCAGCAGACGUCCCUGGGGAAUCAUGGCAGCUAAAGACUCCUACUUUCAGAGGCCUGUUCGUCCUGCCCACCAUUCCCACAGCCGGACCUGUUUGCAAGGAUGCAGCCUUGAGAGAGGAAGGUGUUGAGGCCGAACCCAGUGGAGGCCUCUAGUAAACGUCGAAGAGCCUGGCAGGCAGUGUGGAAGUCUGCGUGUCUUGUGGCUGCCCAAGACAAGCCUCAAAUGUGAGUUCCCUUGUUUGUUAAAGCCACCACCCACCGAUCUGGAGUGGCCUGCCUCUUUGGUCUCUCCCUGCCCUCAGUGUGGGGUGGGGGGCGGGGACAGUUUGCAAACCAGCAGUCAUCCUGCAAGUCACCAUGUCCCUGGGCCUUACCUUCCUCACCUUGUUCCCUGUUCUACAGGUGGAGUGGAGGCCUCAGCCUCAAUU